UACGUAGGGUGCGAGCGUUGUCCGGAAUUAUUGGGCGUAAAGAGCUCGUAGGCGGUCUGUUAAGUGGGAUGUGAAAUCCCCGGGCUUAACCUGGGAAUUGCAUUUCAAACUGGCCGACUAGAGUACGGUAGAGGGAGGUAGAAUUUCCUGUGUAGCGGUGAAAUGCGUAGAUAUAGGAAGGAAUACCAGUGGCGAAGGCGGCCUCCUGGAUCGAUACUGACGCUGAGGCGCGAAAGCGUGGGGAGCAAACAGG
This 253-nucleotide ribosomal RNA is filed under the name uncultured bacterium. RNAcentral's name for it is "partial 16S ribosomal RNA". It matches the Rfam family "Bacterial small subunit ribosomal RNA", at positions 524 to 776 of the family's 1533-position model. The record is from RNAcentral.